Caenorhabditis elegans is the source of this 217-nucleotide non-coding RNA. NCBI's taxonomy places the organism in Eukaryota, Metazoa, Nematoda, Chromadorea, Rhabditida, Rhabditidae. The record is from Ensembl.
UCAUGCAUACAAUAGCUCCUCAACCCAUAUAAAAGUGAAAAUACUCAGAGACACAGAGGGAAAUGAAUCAUAAAACAGUCGUGUAACGCCAUCUCGUUUGGCGGCGGCAACGGCAUCGAGAUGAUCGGUUGGUUAUGUAUUCAAAAAAAGGCAAAAGGCAAAUGUUUUCUAUACAAAAGAACGGAGAAAAUUGCAAUUUCGGUACUUUUUAGAUGUU